RNAcentral lists this ribosomal RNA (468 nucleotides) under uncultured bacterium. RNAcentral describes it as "partial 16S ribosomal RNA". It matches the Rfam family "Bacterial small subunit ribosomal RNA", at positions 28 to 507 of the family's 1533-position model. The record is from RNAcentral.
GACGAACGCUGGCGGCGUGCUUAACACAUGCAAGUCGAACGGAAAGGCCCUGCUUUUGUGGGGUGCUCGAGUGGCGAACGGGUGAGUAACACGUGAGUAACCUGCCCCUGACUCUGGGAUAACUUCAGGAAACUGGGGCUAAUACCGGAUAGGAGCUCCUGCUGCAUGGUGGGGGUUGGAAAGUUUCGGCGGUUGGGGAUGGACUCGCGGCUUAUCAGCUUGUUGGUGGGGUAGUGGCUUACCAAGGCUUUGACGGGUAGCCGGCCUGAGAGGGUGACCGGCCACAUUGGGACUGAGAUACGGCCCAGACUCCUACGGGAGGCAGCAGUGGGGAAUAUUGCACAAUGGGCGGAAGCCUGAUGCAGCAACGCCGCGUGCGGGAUGACGGCCUUCGGGUUGUAAACCGCUUUCGCCUGUGACGAAGCGUGAGUGACGGUAAUGGGUAAAGAAGCACCGGCUAACUACGUG